CCUACGGGAGGCAGCAGUGAGGAAUAUUGGUCAAUGGCCGGAAGGCUGAACCAGCCAAGCCGCGUGAAGGACGAAGGUGCCAAGCAUUGUAAACUUCUUUUGUCAAGGGACAAAAUCAGGCUCGAGAGCCUGACCGAGGGUACUUGAAGAAAAAGCAUCGGCUAACUCCGUGCCAGCAGCCGCGGUAAUACGGAGGAUGCGAGCGUUAUCCGGAUUUAUUGGGUUUAAAGGGAGCGUAGGCGGACUGUUAAGUCAGCGGUAAAAGCCCGGGGCUCAACCUCGGCGAGCCGUUGAAACUGGCAGUCUUGAGAUGGCGGGAGGUAUGCGGAAUGCGCAGUGUAGCGGUGAAAUGCUUAGAUAUUGCGCAGAACUCCGAUUGCGAAGGCAGCAUACCGGCGGCGAUCUGACGCUGAGGCACGAAAGCGUGGGUAUCGAACAGGAUUAGAUACCCCUGUAGUC
Molecule: ribosomal RNA, 459 nt
Filed under: uncultured bacterium
Lineage: Bacteria
Description: partial 16S ribosomal RNA
Rfam family: Bacterial small subunit ribosomal RNA
Source: RNAcentral